UCCUCUGGUGUGUCUCAGAAUAACCACAGG
RNAcentral lists this non-coding RNA (30 nucleotides) under Rattus norvegicus (Norway rat). The record is from RNAcentral. Lineage: Eukaryota; Metazoa; Chordata; Mammalia; Rodentia; Muridae.